UUUUUGGUGCAAAUUAGCUAUA
Molecule: non-coding RNA, 22 nt
Filed under: Arabidopsis thaliana (thale cress)
Lineage: Eukaryota; Viridiplantae; Streptophyta; Magnoliopsida; Brassicales; Brassicaceae
Source: RNAcentral